AGAGUUUGAUCCUGGCUCAGGACGAACGCUGGCGGCGCGCCUAACACAUGCAAGUCGAACGAGCGAGAGAGAGCUUGCUUUCUCGAGCGAGUGGCGAACGGGUGAGUAACGCGUGAGGAACCUGCCUCAAAGAGGGGGACAACAGUUGGAAACGACUGCUAAUACCGCAUAAGCCCACGGGUCGGCAUCGACCAGAGGGAAAAGGAGCAAUCCGCUUUGAGAUGGCCUCGCGUCCGAUUAGCUAGUUGGUGAGGUAACGGCCCACCAAGGCGACGAUCGGUAGCCGGACUGAGAGGUUGAACGGCCACAUUGGGACUGAGACACGGCCCAGACUCCUACGGGAGGCAGCAGUGGGGAAUAUUGCACAAUGGGGGAAACCCUGAUGCAGCGACGCCGCGUGGAGGAAGAAGGUCUUCGGGUUGUAAACUCCUGUUGUUGAGGAAGAUAAUGACGGUACUCAACAAGGAAGUGACGGCUAACUACGUGCCAGCAGCCGCGGUAAAACGUAGGUCACAAGCGUUGUCCGGAAUUACUGGGUGUAAAGGGAGCGCAGGCGGGAAGACAAGUUGGAAGUGAAAUCCAUGGGCUCAACCCAUGAACUGCUUUCAAAACUGUUUUUCUUGAGUAGUGCAGAGGUAGGCGGAAUUCCCGGUGUAGUGGUGGAAUGCGUAGAUAUCGGGAGGAACACCAGUGGCGAAGGCGGCCUACUGGGCACCAACUGACGCUGAGGCUCGAAAGUGUGGGUAGCAAACAGGAUUAGAUACCCUGGUAGUCCACACCGUAAACGAUGAUUACUAGGUGUUGGAGGAUUGACCCCUUCAGUGCCGCAGUUAACACAAUAAGUAAUCCACCUGGGGAGUACGACCGCAAGGUUGAAACUCAAAGGAAUUGACGGGGGCCCGCACAAGCAGUGGAGUAUGUGGUUUAAUUCGACGCAACGCGAAGAACCUUACCAAGUCUUGACAUCCUGUGACAGACGUAGAAAUACGUUCUUCCUUCGGGACACAGAGACAGGUGGUGCAUGGUUGUCGUCAGCUCGUGUCGUGAGAUGUUGGGUUAAGUCCCGCAACGAGCGCAACCCUUAUGGUCAGUUACUACGCAAGAGGACUCUGGCCAGACUGCCGUUGACAAAACGGAGGAAGGUGGGGAUGACGUCAAAUCAUCAUGCCCUUUAUGACUUGGGCUACACACGUACUACAAUGGCGUUAAACAAAGAGAAGCAAGACCGCGAGGUGGAGCAAAACUCAGAAACAACGUCCCAGUUCGGACUGCAGGCUGCAACUCGCCUGCACGAAGUCGGAAUUGCUAGUAAUCGUGGAUCAGCAUGCCACGGUGAAUACGUUCCUGGGCCUUGUACACACCGCCCGCCACACCAUGAGAGCCGG
Molecule: ribosomal RNA, 1385 nt
Filed under: metagenome
Description: bacterial SSU rRNA
Rfam family: Bacterial small subunit ribosomal RNA
Source: RNAcentral